This 500-nucleotide ribosomal RNA is filed under the name uncultured bacterium. RNAcentral describes it as "partial 16S ribosomal RNA". It matches the Rfam family "Bacterial small subunit ribosomal RNA", at positions 32 to 507 of the family's 1533-position model. The record is from RNAcentral.
AAUCAACGCUGGCGGCGUGCCUAACACAUGCAAGUCGAACGCGAAAGCCCCGCAAGGGGUAAGUAGAGUGGCAAACGGGUGAGUAACACGUGGGUGACCUGCCUUCGAGUGGGGGAUAACGUCCCGAAAGGGACGCUAAUACCGCAUGACAUCCUGCUUUUGAAAAAGCGGAGAUCAAAGCUGGGGAUCGCAAGACCUAGCGCUUGAAGAGGGGCCCGCGCCUGAUUAGCUAGUUGGUGAGGUAACGGCUCACCAAGGCGACGAUCAGUAUCCGGCCUGAGAGGGCGGACGGACACACUGGGACUGAGACACGGCCCAGACUCCUACGGGAGGCAGCAGUGGGGAAUUGUUCGCAAUGGGCGCAAGCCUGACGACGCAACGCCGCGUGGAGGACGAAGAUCUUCGGGUCGUAAACUCCUGUCGAGCGGGACGAACGCUUCGCGGAUGAAUAAUCCGCAGAAUUGACGGUACCGCUAAAGGAAGCCCCGGCUAACUCCGUG